CAGUCGCCGCGGGAAUACGAGGGGGGCAAGCGUUGUUCGGAAUUACUGGGCGUAAAGCGCACGUAGGCGGCUUGGUAAGUUAGAGGUGAAAGCCCAGGGCUCAACCCUGGAAUUGCCUUUAAGACUGCCGAGCUAGUAGGUGAGAGAGGUAAGUGGAAUUCCGAGUGUAGAGGUGAAAUUCGUAGAUAUUCGGAAGAACACCAGUGGCGAAGGCGGCUUACUGGCUCAUUCUAGACGCUGAGGUGCGAAAGCGUGGGGAGCAAACAGGAUUAGAUACCCCUGUAGUCCCUGUCUCUUAUAC
RNAcentral lists this ribosomal RNA (301 nucleotides) under uncultured bacterium. RNAcentral describes it as "partial 16S ribosomal RNA". It matches the Rfam family "Bacterial small subunit ribosomal RNA", at positions 509 to 807 of the family's 1533-position model. The record is from RNAcentral.